Long non-coding RNA from Gallus gallus (chicken), 8895 nucleotides. Lineage: Eukaryota; Metazoa; Chordata; Aves; Galliformes; Phasianidae. The record is from Ensembl.
CUUUUGCCUGUUUGAAUUUACAGACACCUCGAAACAUGAAGAUGUAAUGGCUUCUAAGAGACGUAUCAAGGUCUGAUGCCUGAGACUUAUCACUGAUUUUCAAAAUGAAAAGUGUUGGUUGCUUCUGUGCAGAUAUGGAACGUGGUUAAAGUUUUAUAAUGGAAAAUCUGACAGGCAGUUAACUAAUCCAUGAGUCAUAUUUCGUAAGUGCCUAAAGGUCUCUGAUGUUCGACCUUCAUUUGAUACCCUUGCCAUCAUGGAGUUAUACAUAACCCAUCUGAAGAACAUUCUUUAUAUAGAUGACUGCAUGCUGCCCUUUUAUACCUGCAAGAAUGAGCGCUGCACUUACUGAAACAGGGAAGUCUACUGCCUGCCUUUCCACCCCUCUCUCUCUGUGGCUGUUUACAGAACUGCAGAGGUACGUUGAACGAAACUGACUUAAAUGACAGCAGUGGAAGACUUUCUGCUUAGUUUAAGUCCUCUGUAGGGCCUAGCUGAAAGGUAAGGAGAGGGGUGGGCAGAUGUUUUUGGAUUCUGUUUGCUUUUAUUUUGAAAGAUUUAAUCAUCAGUACAGCUCUAAUAAUGUACAUAGCAUUGGAGCUAUCAAUACUAACAGAACUCUGGUGUUUUUACCUGUCUGUAGCUCAGUUGGGCAUAAGGCAGGCCAGGCAGAUACAGAAUGAGACAACCUUUUGUCAGAUGAUCCCAAACGGGAAACCCACCUUUACUGACAACAGUGGCAGUGUGCCAGCAUUAGCAGUGUCGAGGUGUUUAUAGAAAGUCUUGAUGUGUAGAGGGCCCUUCUGGAGAACCUACUACUUUAUUCCUCAGCCAAAGGGUAGAAAAGCAACUAUUUGCUUUUUUGGGUACCAUAAGGAACUUCUCAAGUUGCCCAGUAUGACAGUAAAGAAUAUUGGCAUCGCUGUUAUUUUCAAAGCUAAAAUAAGGCAGACACAUGACUUCAGUAAGCACAUGUGAAGUUUGCAUAUCAUAAAUCAUUGCAAUAAAGAAACCAAAACAAAAUAGUAGUGUGUCGUUAAAGCUGGAAUAUGUUUUCCAUUAAAAAAAUUUCCUUUAGGUUUGAUUUGGCUUCUUUUUCACACCUGUGGAACAGUAAAGUAUUUCAGGAAUAGCUCAUUGCCAUUGUGAGACACAAAGUUCCAAUCUACAUGAAUGGACCCACGUACUGUAUAAAGUACAGCAGAAGGUCAUCUUAUUUUUCAAACACUCCAGCAACAGCAGCCUUUACUGCACUACCAAAUAGUAGGCAACAAUUAGAACAGCUGGGAAGACAAAUCAGAAAAAAGAAAGUGGAGGAAAAGAGCUGUGUCCCAAGCUUUUACUUUGGCUGCCAUUUUAAGAAGCGCACCCUUUUCCAUAAUAACAAUUUUGUAAUUGUGUUUUAAGAUCACAUCAGACAUUAGGGGUGAUACAUGUGCAGCAUGUGAGAUUCAUGCUGUGUGCUGAGAACUGCCCAGUGAGGGUCUGGCACAGUGGGAGGGGAAAGACGUGCAGCCUGCCUGUAGGCACCAGCAUGGAGGUUAGUCAUCCUGCUGAGUCAACAGGAGACACCAGCACCUCCAAAGGGUGCUUCUGCCUACUUGUCAUCUAAAGUUAGACAGCUAAAGUUGGUUGCUAAAAAGGAGCUGAGAUGAGGGAAAGGGUUUCACAGCAGAUGUAUCCGCCCCUCUGUCAGCAGUUCUACCUCUUCACCCACCUCUCUGCAUUUGCAUAGAGAAUGAUUCCUGGCUGGUAUUUUCAUGGAGUGAAUUCCCACUUAUCAGAACAUGAUAAUAGCUCGUGUUCCUUAUUUUCAGAGGUCUAGCUGUACAAGUAUUGACUUGUCAGACACAAAUUUCCAGGCAUCUAGACUCUGUUGCAACUAUCAGGAAGAGUUAGGGAUUUUCCAUCCUUGCAAAGAACUUUCCAAGAAAGUCAUCAGAAACAGUUGGAUAAACACACAGUGAAACUUGUAAAACUCCUGGCAAACUGACAGCACAGCCAGAAUUAGAAACUCUGAGCUUUUUUUUUUUUCUGAUGUGAUGCUGGUCACGUGUCUGGUGUUGAGAUAAACCUGGUGGAAGCAGCGAGGCCUAAACUCUAGGAGCCUUCAGUUUAGAGGCCUUUCCAUCCAGUUCUACUGUCUUAUGCCACAGCUUUGAGGUGUCUGAAAGUGUGCUGAAGGAUGCGCGUUGGUGUCAUUUGGGGUUCCUGCAGAAAGAAGGGCCCAACUACACCAAUCCUAUCAGCAGGCUAGGCCUGUUGAAACAAAUGCAACAUAAUAAGAUGCACUGCAACACUUGUCUGGUGGCCUGAAGCACUGCUUUCCCCAUUUGGCCUGCAGUACCCACUGAAGUCAGUGUAAUGAUCUCCAGCAGUUUAUCCUGGCUUUGGAUCAUGGCAUUCAUAGCAAACGUUUGUUUCUGAGUGCCAAGAAGACAGAGGAACUGUGUUGUACAACUGUUCCACAACACACUGCACUCUUAUUUGGGCUGAUUUUCUGUAUUUUUAAAAAUGUUUUGCUUUAUAAAAAGUCAUUUUCUUACUUUAAUCUCAGAAGAGAAUUUUCCAUUCUGUUCACCCUCCCUCUUUUUAUUACAGCAUUUGCUAUAAUUAAGCGCUAAAUUGUAAGAACAUCAUUACAUGGUUCUCUCUUUUUCCAAACUAUUCCUGGCACUGAGAAUUAAAAGAAAAUGUACCUUUUUAGUUAUGUGUGUAGCUCCACUGGCUUAUUCUCAUCUUUUGAUAGUGCUUUUCAGGCUGUCAACUUCCCCUUAUCCUCCUUGUUUCCUGAUUCCCUGAGCUUGUGUAGAAACUGAUGCUGCGGCAGGACAAGGUAAAGAACUGAAAAAUAAGUGAAGAAUUGUGACAGAAGAACUGGCAUUGCCCCAGGGACUCAUAUACUAAAACAUCUUGAAAAAAUCUUCUGAAAAACAGACCAGUUGUGAGUUGACAGUAUCCUUUUAAGAACAGUUUAUGUUGAAAGGUCCUAUGACCAAGUUUUGGCCAAGCACAAGUGUUAAUGAGUUUUUUGAAGUGAAAAGCAUUUAUAUAGACAAAAAUAGAUAGUACUGACAUGUCUCACAGUCAUUGUUUACAAUUUCUGUGUGAUCCCUUGUCCAGAUUUAUAAUGAACACUUGCUGUCCCAGCAGAACUUAAAACGUUUAUGGUUUUCUCUUUAAUGCUAUAAUUAAAAACAGGAUGAUUUUCAUGGGACUAGAAUAAUCUGUAAUUCUUGUGAGAGCUCUAUCUUUUAAGCAGCCUUAUCUAAGGUAUAAUCCUCACUGACCUAAGCAUGCAGAGACAUUUUUUACACUUCCUUAUGUCUUCAUUGAGCAAUUAUACACCCUUAGGGUUAUUUCAACCUGAUAUCUUUAGAUAUCUAAUCUCUCACUAGUUCUUCACAUUUUGUGGAUGAAUGGAUGCUCCUUAUCGUGCAACAAAAAGACCAGUCUGGCGUCCCUAGGGCAGACCAUGCAUUACAGCAGAACUCAGAGAGGCGUAAUUAUAGAGGACAGGUAGAAAGUUAGCUCCUCGAAUGGGAAUUUCUUUGCACUGGAAUACUUACCUAUUUUGAUGUCUGAUGUUUAAUUAGCACUGUUCCUCUACAAAUACAUUUCUGCCAUGCGGAAACUUUUAACUUGCUUUUAAAAGUUUUGUUCUGAAAAUGGUUCAUGUAAGGUAUUUGAACCUGCUUUGUCUAGUAGUAUUAAUAACCUGGGGCAGACAGUGUUUAUAUGGUACCAAGCACCAUGAUGGCACUUAGUAAAUAAUGAAAUAAAUCACAGGCUUUGUUUCUGUUUAAACACUGUGCUUGACCUCUGUGGAUAUCUUCUGGAUCCUGCUCAACAGCCUCAUUUGGGUGCAACUGGAUAUUGUGCCAAUUUUAUUCCAGCUCCAUUAACGUAUGGCAACAAUACAGACAGUACAUCGCCUGACAAAGAACUCAUAGUCCUCCUCUGGAUUUAUGUAGCAAGAUUUUGGCAGUGGGGUGGCCUGCAAGAAGCCAGCAGCUGCCCCGUGUCAGAUCACAGCCCUUGUAGGAGCAGCCCAGGCCUGAGCUGCAGCCCAUGGAGAGCAGCCUGCAGAGGGGCAGGAGGGCUGAGGGAGCUGCCGCCUGUGGGGAACCGUGUGGAGCAGUGCCUGAAGGGUGGGCUCCAUGGUACGGAGCUGUGUUGGAACAGUGCUGGGAGAGCUGCAGCAUGUGGAAAGCCCAUGUGGGAUCAGACCAGGAAGGAUGCCAUCCCAUGGGACGGACCCACACAGAACAGAAGCAGAGAGUGAUCAUGGAAGAGCAGAAGACAUGAAGCUUUAUGGACUGACCGCAGCCCCCUUUCCCUAUUCCCCUGUGCUCGUUGAGGGAAGGAGGUAGGAGUUGAGCCUGAGAAGAGGUGGGUGGAGGAGAGGUGUUGUCAGUCUGUUUUUAUUUCUCAUUGCCCUAUUACUAAUAGGCCAUAAAUAAAAUAAAUCUUUCCCAAGUAGCCUAUUUUGCUUGUGACAGUAAUCACUGAGUGGUCUCCCUAUCUUUCUCUCAACCGAUGAGCUUUUCCAUUGUAUUUUCUCUUUCUGAAGAGAAGUGAGAGAGCAGCUUGGUGAGCACCUAGUGACCUGCCAAUGUUAUCCCACCACAAAAACAAUAAAAUCCUAAGUCCUUGAGCCUGCACUAAGAAUACAGUCAUAGAAUCUCAAGGUUGGAAAGGACCUACAAGAUCAUCUAGUUCAACUGUCCUCCCAUUACCCUUGCUACCACAAGCCACUAAACCGUAUCUCUUAGCUCCUCAUCCAGACACCUCUUGAACACCACCAGGGAUAGUGACUCCACCACCUCCCUGAGCAGGCCAUUGCAGUGCCUGACCACUCUCUGAGAGAAAAAGUUUUUCCUUGUGUCUAAUAUCCACCAGGACUCCUAAUUUGUGUACAAGUAGAUGAGUAAAGUAGAAAAGGAAAGUGAUGAAUGCAUCUAAAGCAACAAUUACAGCACAGAGGAACCAUUGUGUCCAAACUCACUGCCCUGCUCCAGGCUUUGAGAUGUAUUCUGAAAAUACAGUUAUUCUACCGGUGAUGGAUGGGGUACCCAAGCACAUGAAAGCCAAUGUAGAAUUGAUGGUGUGAAGAAAACUCAUGUUAGUUAACUGUUUUAAAGUACAGAGUGGAGAGAAAUUGGAAGGAUAAGUGUUAACUGCACUGUACAAUGUUGGCCUUCCAGACCCACCUGCAGGUGCAGAAGCAGAGGGUGGACGUGCUGUAGAGAGGAACUGUGGGCUUUCCUUAGAACAGCCUGAGAGCAUUUCAGUAACCCCAGCGCUUAUGAUACGUCCCAGGGAAAUCAUACUGCAGCUGACUGCCUAGGUCACAUAUGUUUUUAAUAGAAACAUUGAAAAUUGUUUCAAGAUUGAGGCGUGUACAUGUUAAACGUUGAGGAGCUGAAGAACACAUAGAACUGUACUAAAUUGGUUUCUCAUACAGGCUGACAAAACACUCGGGAUGCAUCCUAAUCCCAAGUGCUCCCAUAAAAGCCUGCGUAUCCUUGUCCUCUCCAACCACCAAAUCAAUCUUAAACUUUUAGGCGAGGUUGCUGAACUUGCAGUCUGAUUUAAUCACUUUUCCGUCAGGAAUUGGCAAAGCUGAGAAAUAGUCUGUGGCUAACUUCAGCGUGUUUUAUAUGUUUGUGAUAUCUGUACUUUUCUAUUUUCAACGUAUAACUAAUAAAAAAAAUAAUCCCCAUUAUGCAUUUGUUAUGGAAUAAUAAUACUUACAGGAAUCAAAAGAUUACUACUAUAUGUCUUCUUUACUGCAGAAGGAGUUACAAUGAGGAGCCCUGAGGUGGCCCAGAGGGCAGGAAAGGACAACAUUCAAAACUCCAGCAACCAGUGAAAGAGGAAUUAAGGUAUUACUCACCGAAGCCUCUACAAAACCAGGCUUAAAUGCAGUUGGAAGCCUUUGCCAACUCUGGAACUCAAAUUAAAGUCUGCUAUCCCAGAAGCAAUAGCAGCCAGAGGGAAUUGGGAAGGGAUCAAGGAAGAGUGGGGUGGGAGACAAAAUCUCAAAGACCACCAAGAUGAGAGGUAUUCACCACCUUAGGCAUUAUCACACGAAGGCUGCAUGCCCUGCGGAGCCUUGAUUGCCCAACAGAAGUUAAUAUGUUGAGCACAGGGUUUCUUGGUCAGUUAUGGAGGAGGCCAAGCUAGACAAUCUGAGUCUGAAUAGUUUACAACGUGGAGUUUGAGUUUGAGCACCCUGCUGCUUGCUCUGUGAUAGUAGCUAUAGCAGUACUGAGUGGUAAAUGAGUGAGUAACGCAAGCUGGCAGAGCUGAGGCUGCAGUAAGAGGCACAUGCAUAUCUCGAUGGUUCAGGCAUGCCCCAUGUCAGCCGUGAAUUCUGCAGUUUGUGUUAAUAAGUGGAGCAUGCAAGUUGUCUGCUUGCCAUAGGGUGAGUGGCAGCCAGGCAGCCUGCAAAAAUGGAUGUCGUGGGGGCACCGAAACAAGGAGCUGAACGUACUAUCUUGAAAGAAAUCUCUACAGAAAGAAAAAAGGGAGAUACCAUUCUGCAUGUCUGGGCUAGUGUGAAUUCAUCAGGCUUUGUGUUUGAAUGGGAGCCAGGUGUAGCGUACAAGUAACUCCUGUUUGCUCUGCUUGACCUAAAUCCAAGUUUUGCUUUGUCAGGUUUUGUCCGACAUGUGUUCUGUUUCCCUACUGCGUAGUAACAGCGCUAGAGGCUGGGUGUUAGCACUGGCAAUCUGAUGAUUCAGUCACUCAAGUAUGAAGGCCAUACUGUGGCAAUAGGGAGGAAGUGAGGACGUGUAACCUUACCAUGUGUUUUGUGGUGGUCGAAGGUUUCAGUUCAUGCUGAAAGAAUUCUUAUUUGUGAAAUUUCAAAAGGAUUAAAUGCAGACUGUCCUUGCAUUCUAGACGGCAGUCAGGCACCACAAGCAACCUGCAUCUCUGCCAACAAUGCAUUUGGGGAUAUAAUGCCUUGUUCAGUUAUUUAUAAAUAGGCAUUUUCCAGGAUCGACACCUACCAGAGCCCAGCCAUCCACCUCCACUGCCUCCCUUUCCUUGGCAGCCAUUCCUGCAGCAGAAAUGCAUGGGUGGCAAGAGUCCUCCAGCUGUCCUCAUCUUCAGUCUCACUGGUUUGGGGGUGUUGUGGUGGUAAGAGAAGCAUCUGCUAUUCGAGACCCUGUCUUAAACAGCCACAUUGCCAUGAAUAAGUUUCCAGUGCUAAUAGUCAGGAACUGUAGCAGAUAGGAAGACUGCCAGCUCUUGGAUACACACUUCUGUUUGGGUCACAAGAGGAAGUCACCCUCUUGUACAAUAUCUGUGCAAACACCAAAUCCUACUCACCUCUGAUGUUCACAACAAGUUUGAGCUAAGCAAAGCACUCUACCCAUGGACAAUGCUAAGAUGCUGGUCAUCUCAGAAGAAGAUCAAGCGAGCUUGAUGUUGAAGGGAGAGUGUGAUAUAAUUGAUUGUGAGAUAUGAUGAGAUAAAUCAGGCAAUUGAAAUUACUCUUGGGUCCCAAACAUGGGUUGUAAGAUUUUUCCAAGCAGUGAAGACAUUCAGCGCGCUGCACAUUUCAGAGAUUGAGGUUUGAAACCUAACUAAACAAAUAAUGAAAAUUAAAAAAUAAAAAUAAAACCAAUAAUGAAAUGGAACAUUGUUGUGGUUUAACUCUGUUGGGCAGCUCAGCACCACACAGCUGCUCACUCACUCUCCCCACGUAGGAUUGGGGAGAGAAUUGGAAAGGUAAGCAAAACAAGGAAUUCAUUUACAGUUUCCCAUUGGCAGGCGGGUGUUCAGCCACAUCAGGAAAGCAGGGCUGAUCACCUGUAACAGUUUCUUGGGAAGAUAAAUUCCAUUACUUUGAAUGUUCCAGCCAUCCUCCUUCUUUCCCCUGCUGUUUUGUUGCUAACCAUGAUGACAUAUGGUAUGGGACAUCCCUUUGGCUAAUCUGGGUUGGCUGUCCUGGCUGUGUGUCCUCCUGACUCCUUGUGUCUCCCCAGCUCCUCAUUGCAGAGCAGUGUAAGAAGUGGAGAUGUCCUUGGCUGUGUGUAGCACAGCUCAGCAACAACUGAAAUGUCGGUGUGUUAUCACUGCUACUCAUAGAAUUGUGGAAUGGCCUUGGGUUGAAAAGGACCUCAAAGAUCAUUGAGUUUCAACCCCCCUGCUAUGUGCAGGGUCACCAACCACCAGACCAGGCUGCCCAGAGCCACAUCCAGCCUGGCCUUGAAUGCCUCCAGGGAUGGGGCAUCCACAACCUCUCUCUAUUUUCAUUGCAGAUCCAAAACACGGCAUCAUACAAGCCUCUGCAAAGAAAAUUAACUCUAUCCCAGCCAAAAUAUGACAAAUAUAAAAUCUACAAACCAAAGAAAAAAGGUGGCGACACGUCACAGGGAAGGGAUAAAAGCAACACUUUUGGUCUGAUUAGGUGUAAAACACAUAAUGUUCCCAGUGUUUUUUCUCCAUUCCAAGUCAAGAAGUAUGAAGAGGAAAAUCUUAGUGUAUGCUCCCCUUUGUGCAUUGCACCACAUAGAUACGUGAAGGAAGCCAAGCUCACAUACCAUGUAGGUAUUGUAGUGACAUGCAGGUGUCACUACAGUGUGACAGUUAGAACUAUUGCCACUCCCAGAAGAACAAGGAAAUAUUCAUAAUGUGACCACGGAGAUGGGGGAAGAAGUGGCUGUAUCUUGACAACCCCAGAUCAAAUGUUAAUUCUAAGCAAAAGUUCAUUCUAUUAUAGGUUGUCAGGUGCCAAAUAACAGGCCAAAAACAUAUCUUGAAAGCCAGAGAAUAAUUGCCCAUGAUAUCUGGAUCAAUAUCUCAGUACACAGUGCUCCAGGCACAGAGGGUUACCAGCUCUACUGUGAGGGAACUAAGAGAAAAAAAAUUCAGUGCAUU